CAGCCGCCACGGUAAUACGUAGGUGGCAAGCGUUGUCCGGAAUUAUUGGGCGUAAAGGGCUCGCAGGCGGUUUCUUAAGUCUGAUGUGAAAGCCCCCGGCUCAACCGGGGAGGGUCAUUGGAAACUGGGAAACUUGAGUGCAGAAGAGGAGAGUGGAAUUCCACGUGUAGCGGUGAAAUGCGUAGAGAUGUGGCGGAACACCAGUGGCGAAGGCGACUCUCUGGUCUGUAACUGACGCUGAGGAGCGAAAGCGUGGGGAGCGAACAGGAUUAGAUACCCGCGUAGUCCCUGUCUCUUAUAC
This 301-nucleotide ribosomal RNA is filed under the name uncultured bacterium. RNAcentral's name for it is "partial 16S ribosomal RNA". It matches the Rfam family "Bacterial small subunit ribosomal RNA", at positions 509 to 807 of the family's 1533-position model. The record is from RNAcentral.